UUGAGCCGUAUGCGGUGAAAGUCGCACGUACGGUUCUUAGGGGGGCGCUCUUCCGAGAGGAAGGGUGCCUACCCUCC
RNAcentral lists this non-coding RNA (77 nucleotides) under Paraburkholderia tropica. RNAcentral also lists the same sequence under 1 other name. The record is from RNAcentral. Lineage: Bacteria; Pseudomonadati; Pseudomonadota; Betaproteobacteria; Burkholderiales; Burkholderiaceae.